Molecule: ribosomal RNA, 588 nt
Filed under: Hanseniaspora uvarum
Lineage: Eukaryota; Fungi; Ascomycota; Saccharomycetes; Saccharomycodales; Saccharomycodaceae
Description: partial large subunit ribosomal RNA
Rfam family: Eukaryotic large subunit ribosomal RNA
Source: RNAcentral
CCACUGGUCAUACUUAGUACGGCGAGUGAAGCGGUAAAAGCUCAAAUUUGAAAUCUGGUACUUUCAGUGCCCGAGUUGUAAUUUGUAGAAUUUGUCUUUGAUUAGGUCCUUGUCUAUGUUCCUUGGAACAGGACGUCAUAGAGGGUGAGAAUCCCGUUUGGCGAGGAUACCUUUUCUCUGUAAGACUUUUUCGAAGAGUCGAGUUGUUUGGGAAUGCAGCUCAAAGUGGGUGGUAAAUUCCAUCUAAAGCUAAAUAUUGGCGAGAGACCGAUAGCGAACAAGUACAGUGAUGGAAAGAUGAAAAGAACUUUGAAAAGAGAGUGAAAAAGUACGUGAAAUUGUUGAAAGGGAAGGGCAUUUGAUCAGACAUGGUGUUUUUUGCAUGCACUCGCCUCUCGUGGGCUUGGGCCUCUCAAAAAUUUCACUGGGCCAACAUCAAUUCUGGCAGCAGGAUAAAUCAUUAAGAAUGUAGCUACUUCGGUAGUGUUAUAGCUUUUUGGAAUACUGUUAGCCGGGAUUGAGGACUGCGCUUCGGCAAGGAUGUUGGCAUAAUGGUUAAAUGCCGCCCGUCUUGAACCAACGGGACCA